ACGCUGGCGGCACGCCUUAUACAUGCAAGUCGAACGAAGUAGCAAUACUUAGUGGCAGACGGGUGAGGAACAUGUAGGUAUCUACCCUUUGGCCUGGAAUAACACGAGGAAACUUGUGCUAAUACCGGAUAAGUCUUUACGGAGAAAGCUUUAUGCACCAUUGGAUGAGCCUGCACUUGAUUAGUUUGUUGGUGGGGUAAUGGCCUACCAAGACAAUGAUCAAUAGCUGAUUUGAGAGGAUGAUCAGCCACAUUGGGACUGAGACACGGCCCAAACUCCUACGGGAGGCAGCAGUAGGGAAUCUUGCACAAUGGAGGAAACUCUGAUGCAGCGAUGCCGCGUGAGUGAAGAAGGCCUUUGGGUUGUAAAGCUCUUUCGUCGGGGAAGAAAAUGACUGUACCCGAAUAAGAAGGUCCGGCUAACUUCGUGCCAGCAGCCGCGGUAAUACGAAGGGACCUAGCGUAGUUCGGAAUUACUGGGCUUAAAGAGUUCGUAGGUGGUUAAAAAAGUUGGUGGUGAAAUCCCAGAGCUUAACUCUGGAACUGCCAUCAAAACUUUUUAGCUAGAGUAUGAUAGAGGAAAGCAGAAUUUCUAGUGUAGAGGUGAAAUUCGUAGAUAUUAGAAAGAAUACCGAUUGCGAAGGCAGCUUUCUGGAUCAUUACUGACACUGAGGAACGAAAGCAUGGGUAGCGAAGAGGAUUAGAUACCCUCGUAGUCCAUGCCGUAAACGAUGUGUGUUAGACGUUGGAAAUUUAUUUUCAGUGUCGCAGCGAAAGCGAUAAACACACCGCCUGGGGAGUACGACCGCAAGGUUAAAACUCAAAUGAAUUGACGGGGACCCGCACAAGUAGUGGAGCAUGUGGUUUAAUUCGAAGAUACGCGCAGAACCUUACCAACACUUGACAUGUUCGUCGCGACUCUAAGAGAUUAGAGUUUUCGGUUCGGCCGGACGAAACACAGGUGCUGCAUGGCUGUCGUCAGCUCGUGUCGUGAGAUGUUGGGUUAAGUCCCGCAACGAGCGCAACCCUUACUUUUAGUUGCCAUCAUUUAGUUGGGCACUCUGAAAGAACUGCCAGUGAUAAGCUGGAGGAAGGUGGGGAUGACGUCAAGUCCUCAUGGCCCUUAUGUGUUGGGCUACACACGUGCUACAAUGGUAUCUACAACAGGAAGCAAGAUGGCAACAUUAAGCAAAUCCCAAAAAGAUACCUCAGUUCGGAUUGCACUCUGCAACUCGAGUGCAUGAAGCUGGAAUUACUAGUAAUCGUGGAUCAGCGUGCCACGGUGAAUACGUUCCCGGGUCUUGUACACACCGC
This 1313-nucleotide ribosomal RNA is filed under the name uncultured marine bacterium. Its description in RNAcentral is "16S ribosomal RNA". It matches the Rfam family "Bacterial small subunit ribosomal RNA", at positions 33 to 1393 of the family's 1533-position model. The record is from RNAcentral.